This 75-nucleotide transfer RNA is filed under the name Thalassoglobus neptunius. RNAcentral describes it as "Planctomycetes bacterium KOR42 tRNA-Arg". It matches the Rfam family "tRNA". From Rfam's summary of the family: Transfer RNA (tRNA) molecules are approximately 80 nucleotides in length. Their secondary structure includes four short double-helical elements and three loops (D, anti-codon, and T loops). Lineage: Bacteria; Pseudomonadati; Planctomycetota; Planctomycetia; Planctomycetales; Planctomycetaceae. The record is from RNAcentral.
GCCCUCGUAGCUCAGCAGGAUAGAGCGUUGGUUUCCUAAACCAAAGGUCGUGGGUUCGAAUCCCGCCGGGGGUAC